Non-coding RNA from Macaca mulatta (Rhesus monkey), 4526 nucleotides. The record is from RefSeq and is a predicted model, not a curated record. NCBI's taxonomy places the organism in Eukaryota, Metazoa, Chordata, Mammalia, Primates, Cercopithecidae.
CAGCCCUUGUGGGUGGUAUGUGAGAAGUUUAUAAAAAGAUGACUCAGAUGUUCAGUGAAUGUUUUCCACCAGUUUUGCUUUCUCUAUUUUUCUGGAAAAUAGACUGUAUAGUUUCACUCUGAUGUUUCCCUCUUCCAACUCUGCCUAUAGCUGGAAUAAUGAAUAUAAAUGGCAAGCAAGUAAAAGUAAAUAUAAGCAUUCAAGUUUGGCUUGCUUUUUACAUCUUGAGUACUGCAAACUACUUAAAUUUACAUUUACAGAAGGCUAAAAUCUUAAUUUGAUUUCUCCUACUAAAGGUCUUAAAAUUCAGUCUGUUUCAACAUGUGGAGAGUUUACUAUUUGCAGGGCUGUGUGCUGGAAGGUGUGAGGGAUGCUUGGAAGAAUGUCACUGUCCCUGGAAUUGAAGAAAGUGGCACAAAAAAUCUUCACCAUUCAAGAAUAGGAUUAGUGCUAUAGGAUACUUGGAAGCAAAUUGCCAUGAAAGCCCAGAGAGAAUAGGGACACUUUUUAGAUGAGGGGACAGUCUUCCUCACUUUAAAUAGUGGAACAUUUACAAGAAAUGACAAUCAGCAAAGGGAACACCAAGAGGGCAGAGCACUCACCAAAACCAUGGGGCAAGGCCAGGCCAUGCAGGAAACAACAAGCCCUCGUGUUGAACAGAAUCCAAGCCAGGUGACUGGAAGGAGAGACUGAGGACAACUUGGGUCCAGGGACCAGGAGUUUAGGUUUCAGUAUGAGAAUGGCUGAGAGCUGAGAAAGAUGUUUCAGCUGAGGAUGCAGGGCCUGGUCCAGGGUGGAUCCCAGGGUGGCUGUGCUUUGGGUUUCCCCUGGCUCAGCCUAUAAGAGCUUGAGAAACAAGAGUCAGUGGUGGCCCUGGAAGCUGCUGUAUUUAUUCAGUCCUAUGCAAAUAUAUCGAUUAUUCCAGAGAGAUUAUACAGGCAGGUAUAUUAUAGGCUUCUCCUCAUGGAGAACAACUGUCCAAUGUAGAACAACUGUCCAAUUAGAACGGCGCUCCUAACCCACUGUGUGAAGCACAGUUGUAUUACUAGCCAUUAUAAGAGUUGGAACUUUGAAGAAAAGGUCUGUGAAAUAACAGCAUGCAAAAUGGCAGCCAAGUCCUAAUCACACUUGAGUUUCCUGAAACACAGAGCCUGCGACUUAAAAAGACGGUCUACCCAAUUUGGCGGGGACCGACCAUUUUGCAACUGAUUCUUCCUUCCUGAAUUCCUUGUCAGGACUUACCUCCCAUGACAAGGGUUCACAAUUGCUCUCACCGCGCUUUCCACACGCCCCCUCCCCUGCACACACCCUUUUUUUAUGCCUUGGUGCUCAUCAAGAGCUCCCCUUGCUAGUUCCUUUUCUUCUCUCCUCAAGCAAACAUACUAUGUAAAGUGCUACGGUAAAACGUUCCAGGAACGAAUGCAAAGGCCGAGGUGACAGGGGGAAGUUCCUUUCUUCAAGAAGCAAUAUCGUAGAGGUGGGCUGUCAGGGAGCCUGCAAGAUCUGAAGUUUCAGGGACUGAAUGAAAGAAACACUCGGCUAACAAAACAGUGCCGCCGAGGACGUUUCAUCUGCUCGGGCCAAAUCCCUUCUUUCUUUCCAUCCUUUCUUUCCUAAUAACAGCUGCCCUCUCAUUCCAUGUUACUCUGCUGUGAAGAACAAAACCUCCCUCUGACUAUCUGUUUUUCUUUUCUUCCCCAGAGUAGGUCUCAUUACUGGUGAUUAGCAGAUGAUUAAAACCAAUUCAGCUUCCCCCAGUAGAUAUUUUCUCCCUGUUUGUGCCUAACGCGUCAGCCUUCAAUGAACGUGCUCCUAAGCUUAUUAACAGGCUCAGAGGAUUAGCUGCCGCCAAGCUCGGUGGCUCCCAUAUUGUGAUGCAGGGAGUGACAUGGAACCAUUUGCUGAGCGCAGACAGGACCGCUGGGAUCAAACUAUCUAAAUCACAAUUUUAUUUUCCAUGUAGAGCAAGAUAAAAGAAAACCCAACAAUAAUUACAAAAAUCAAACGUUUGGACAAGUCUGAAAAUAUCCUUAUACUUAGUGGCAGAAAACAGGCUAAACCAAUCAGGAAGGGCAUCAAUGUGCGUGUGUGCGAGGGUGCGUGUGGAGUUUACAUGAAUGUAAAGUCAUGUGGUUUAUCUAUGUUCAUGCCCAUGUACAAAGAUAAAAGUUCUCGUUUAGCCUCUGCAUUCACUCUGGUACAUAAACAGCCUGUGUUUGCACGGGUCCCAUAUGGAUAGAUCUUUCUUUUAACAGAGACUAAAGAAUCGUGAACUUAGAGUAUAACAGCCUAUGAAUUUUGGUAAUAUUUUAACGAGCAUCUAAUCCUCCAAAACUGUGAAACUUGAGUUAGAUAUUGGCAGAUACAGACAAAGGAAUUCCAAGUAACUGGUUUCACUUUUGUUUCAAAAUCACAAAUACACCAUACGGUUUUUAAAGUUUGGGAGGAAUGUCUCCCUAUCUGAAAGUGUUUUAUUUCUUGGAUCGCUAACUAAACAAUAAUAAUAGUCACAAAAGAAUAGUGAUAUAUUUAUUAGCUGGGACCAGAAUUAGUAGAUUAGAAAGCAAAAAGGAACAUUGCUUCAGUUCUAAAAGGAGAAAAACCUCAUAGUCUGACUCUGGUAGAUGCAUUUAAAAGGUUGUGUUCUGGGGGGACAGGAUUGCUUUAUUGUUACCAAUGGUCUCUUAUUCUAAAUCUUUCAGUUUUUCUCAUUUAGUUUUUCCCACCUUUUCAAUGCAGCUUAACUCUGAGCGUGCUGGAGCUUGAAAUCUAGUUUCCAAUUCAUAAUAGCAACAGGGUUUGCAGAAAAUGUCAACAAAUCCCUCAUCAUCAAGGAACGUAGGAAAUGUGAAAGUGCCUGCUGCAUAGGAGACCACUGAUAAUGUGUUUUUUCAUGAAGAAUCAACUCAGUCUCUCAAUUUGCCACAACUCUGAACCUAAGCAGUGAGUAGAAGGCUUUGUUGGGCUUCGAAGUUCACAUAUUUAAAACGUCCAGACAUGGAGGAAGAGAACUUCAGGUGGAACAGAAACGUGGCAGUGGACAAGGAUUUUCUAUGAAUGCAUGAAUGAAAGAGUGAAUAGCUAUCUCGUGACAAAGAGAAAUGACAAGGCAGAGACGAUGAGAAGACGUGCUUUUAUAUGGAGACAGUUGACUUUUUUUGCUGGAAAAAUGCAUGCGCAUGUUCCAGAGGGACCCUAGUUUGAUGCUGUUUGAGUGUGGAGCCACCCUGCCAUCUGCCCCGUCAUCCACCAGAAUGACUGUUCACUCAUCACAAAACUUACAACGUUAACUCACAGCGAGAUACGUAUACGGAAAAAUGAACACCGUUAAAAUACAAAAGGACUGAAAUUGUAGUUCUCUCUUACGUUUUGCCAUCGAAAGAACACGUAUUUCACAGCUUCACUCUUUCUGAAAUAACAAACAAACAAAACAAAACAAAACACAAGACAAAAGAAAACCGGCGAAGGUGAUUUCAUUGACCCCAAUUUUGGAAGCAAGGAGAAACAAGCAUGUGAGAUAAAGUCUACAAAGCAGUGCAAAGCUACUUAAAGAAGAGAUAUUUGAGCUGUAAUGCAAAUGCAUCAUUUAAAAAAGAAUAAUUUAUCUCUGUUGACAACAGAGGGUGUAAUUAGACUUUCUAUAUAUCAUACUGCAUAUGUUGAAGGAGUUAUCACACUGUUAUAUUUAGAUUGGAAAUGUCCUUAAAAUUUUACUGCAAAAUAGAUUCUACAUAAAUUUUUUUAUUGUACACCUUUUUAGAGAAUAAUGAUUAAAUUAAUGCCCUUGUACUAGUAACCAAAAUUAGAAACUAAAAAACUACCUUCUUAAAAGCUUCCUCUGUGCCUCUCAACAAGAGUAGCUCCCUUUUCCUCAGAGGUAACUGCAGUAUUACCCUAAUUUUGUUUUCAUCUAAUUUGCUUCUUUCUAACUAUAUUCAUGUAUCUGUAUCCCCAAACACUACCAUAUUCGUUUCAACCUAUGUUUGGACUUUUUAUCAAUGUAACUACUCUGUGUUGCAUUCUCUUUUGAGAUUCAUUCAUGUUAAAGCCUAGGCAAUAGUUUAUUGGUUUCUUAGUGCUAUAUUCUAUUGUGUAAUGUGGCACCAUUUAUUUGACCAUUGUUACUACUUAAGACUAUUUGAAUUAGUUCCAGUAUUUACUAUUAUGAACAAUUUUGCUAUAACAUCUCUUGGUUUGUUGUGUAACCAUUUCUCUAGGCUAUAUAUCUAGGAUUAGACUUGCUGGAUAAAAAUGUCUUUAUACAUUCAACUUUGAAAAGUAAUGGCAAACAUUUUCCAUAAAAAGUCAUACCAAAUUACUUUCCUACCAACCGCAGAGAAGAAUUUCUGAUGUUUCACAUUCUAGGCAAUGUUCAAUAUUAUCUGAUUUUUAAGAAAUAUUUGACAAUUCAAUAAUUUGAAAAAGAUAUUUUAUUAUGUUUAUAAUUUGCAUUUUAUGACUACAAAUAAGAUGGAACACUUUUUCAUUUGUUUAUGAACUUUUCAUAUGUUUUCUGUGGAAUGGCU